AUGCUAAACCGUCCGAUGCCCUUCUUCAAACGCACGCGUAUGAAAGAUUCCCUGCAUCUCGUUGCUUCCUUGUAUCUCGCCGGCUGCGCAUGCUCUCCGGUCGCCAUCCUCGCAGGCCGUCCUCGUCGCCGGUCAUCUUCGCCGGCGGUCCUCGUCGCCGGUCGUCCUCGCCGGCAGUCCUUUGCAGGCCGUCCUCGCAGUCGCCGGCGGUCCUGGCAGGCCGUCCUCGUCGUCGGUCGUCCUCGCCGGCAGUCCUUUGCAGGCCGUCCUCACAGUCGCCGGCGGUCCUGGCAGGUCGUCCUCGUCGCCGGUUGUCCUCGCACUCGCUGGUCGUCCUGGCAGGCCGUCCUCGUCGCCGGUUGCAGCAUCGAAUGGUGCGACCCCGCUCGUCAUAAACGGUGGUAG
This 405-nucleotide ribosomal RNA is filed under the name Triticum aestivum (bread wheat). RNAcentral describes it as "partial small subunit ribosomal RNA". Lineage: Eukaryota; Viridiplantae; Streptophyta; Magnoliopsida; Poales; Poaceae. The record is from RNAcentral.